AAUGAACGUUGGCGGCGUGGAUUAGGCAUGCAAGUCGAACGCGAACGGGCAACCUAGUAGCGUGGCGAAAGGGGUAGUAAUGCAUAGGCAACCUGCCCUCGGGUCUGGGAUAUACGGUGGAAACGCCGGGCAAUACUGGACGUCGUCGGAAGUUGGCAUCAAUUUCCGAUGAAAGGAAUCCGCCCGAGGAGGGACCUAUGUCCUAUCAGCUAGUUGGCGGGGUAAUGGCCCACCAAGGCGACGACGGGUAGGGGGUGUGAGAGCAUGAUCCCCACCAUUGGGACUGAGACACUGCCCAGACUCCUACGGGAGGCUGCAGUCGAGAAUCUUCGGCAAUGGGCGCAAGCCUGACCGAGCGACGCCGCGUGGAGGAUGAAGGCCUUCGGGUUGUAAACUCCUGUUGAGGGGGAACAAAUCAAUGAGUGAACCCUUGAGGAAGCACGGGCUAAGUUCGUGCCAGCCGCCGCUGUAAAAC
This 475-nucleotide ribosomal RNA is filed under the name uncultured bacterium. Its description in RNAcentral is "bacterial SSU rRNA". It matches the Rfam family "Bacterial small subunit ribosomal RNA", at positions 29 to 526 of the family's 1533-position model. The record is from RNAcentral.